GACGGACGCUGGCGGCGUGCUUAACACAUGCAAGUCGAACGGAAAGGCCCUGCUUGCAGGGUAUUCGAGUGGCGAACGGGUGAGUAACACGUGGGUGAUCUGCCCUGCACUUCGGGAUAAGCCUGGGAAACUGGGUCUAAUACCGGAUAGGAGCCAUUUUUAGUGUGAUGGUUGGAAAGUUUUUUCGGUGUAGGAUGAGCUCGCGGCCUAUCAGCUUGUUGGUGGGGUAAUGGCCUACCAAGGCGGCGACGGGUAGCCGGCCUGAGAGGGUGGACGGCCACAUUGGGACUGAGAUACGGCCCAGACUCCUACGGGAGGCAGCAGUGGGGAAUAUUGCACAAUGGGCGCAAGCCUGAUGCAGCGACGCCGCGUGGGGGAUGACGGCCUUCGGGUUGGAAACUCCUUUCGCUAGGGACGAAGCUUUUUGUGACGGUACCUAGAUAAGAAGCACCGGCUAACUACGUG
Molecule: ribosomal RNA, 465 nt
Filed under: uncultured bacterium
Lineage: Bacteria
Description: partial 16S ribosomal RNA
Rfam family: Bacterial small subunit ribosomal RNA
Source: RNAcentral